AGGGUGAAACAAAACAGCCCUAAACGACAUCCUUGAUGUCACUGUCCUUCAGGUACUAAAGUGGGUUCAGCCCAAUAGUCCCCUCACCAGGCUGGGUCAAUUCACAUGCCACACAGCCUGAAAACCCACAUCUAUGUGAGUGAAGCAUUUCUUACCCGUUAUACUAAAUUUUAAACUAACCAGUUUUCCCCCUAUAAUGUUAAAAUAGAAUGGCUAUGGUCGAAUAAUAGAAGCAAGAACUCCUUCUGUGGGGUUUUCUGUUUGUGUCCCCCUGCCAAAUGUCUGGGUAUGUAAUUUCACCAAAAUUUACAGUACUUGAGGAUAUGCAAUAAUUCUGCAUUCUUGAAAUUUCCCCCCUGCUUUCUUGCAAAUCUCAGCAUGAAAAAGGGACAAAAGAAAAAUCCUACUUUUCAAUUAGUUUGGAUAAUACAGUGUAAGUGGGUUUGUAGAUUUUUUUUUUGACUCUGAGAAUUUGUUUAUAAGGAAAGAAGCAGAGAAGAACCAGUAUUAGAGAGAAAAAUACUCUCCAUAGAUUUUUAAACAAGAGGGAGAAUAAAUAAGAGGUGAAGAUUGUCACUUGUUUUACACCUGAUUGGAAUAAAGAAACCAUUUACUGAGAGCCAGUCCUAGUUAAGUUUUGAUGAAAUUGGUAACCUUGUCACCAUUUCUUACAGAAUAGAGGCCCCUCAUCGGCUUCCAGCAAGAGGUCGGUGUGAGGAGGUCAAAAGUCACAGGCUGCACGGAAAGGUUGUUAAAUUAAAAUCCAAGACAAGUAGACCAAGGAAAAGGGUUCUGAAUUUUCUUUUUUUUCUCCUGACACUUGGUGAUCUGAGUCAAAGUAAAUGAAACAACUUCCUAAAUCAUUGCAUGUAUCAUACAAGUUUCAAAUAGAAUGCACCUUUGUACAUGAAUCAUCAAUCAAUCCAUGUCUGUGCAAGGUGGAGGCAGAGUGGCCACUCUGUGCGUAUUCGGGGCUCCAGAGUGUAAAGGGCCCCUGUCCAAGGUCAUGCGGAGAUUCUGGGACUCGCCUGAUGGCACCAUCGCUGUGUUGCUCCGUGGGGCAGAUGUGCUCAACCUGAACGCGCGGUACCCUGGCCAGGAUUAAUCAGCUUGGAGCCGAUCGGGGCCCUUUGUCACCCAGCUCCCCUAACUAUCGCAAGUGUGCCCAGGGGACUCAGGUGAGCUAGUGACCCUAUGCCCUUCCUGCUCCCACACACCCAGCAGCACAAGAAUCCUCGAAUCCAGAUGUUUCUAGUUGGAGAAAACAAGUUUGGCAGGGGGACCAACUCAUCAUGCACUUGCUGCAUUAAUUGAGGGAACAAACUAACGACUGUGCAUUUGUGUGACAGUAGCAAGACCUUGACUCAUCUUAACAAGCUGCCAGCCUCGAGUCAGCGUCUUUGGAAAUACCAAAGUCAGCAUGGGGACAGCUGGGCUCCAUGCUCCAGACUGAAACACCUUCCAGAAAAGGAACUGAAGAGGGGAAAUCAGAUCCUCAAUACCAGGUGAACUGAUGAUAGAAGGCGUUACAAGGACACGGUUGUUGAAGGUGAGUCAGCUUUCAAGCAGAACACACAGGCGAGCAGGCACCCCUGCAUCAGCCGGUCCUGGUCAGAGCAGGGCGCCCCCUGCCCCGUGAGCAUGCAGCGCGCCCUUCCUCCAGCCUGAGGUCCUAGGAGCACAUCCUCCUCAUCCCUCUGCUCGGGAGGACGUGUGGACACCACCAACACCGCGUCCCUCCGACUCAUCCCGGCCGGCUGGUCCUACAGGAAUAAGGGAACUGUCCGUCCCCUGAGGGGUUUCCUCAUGACCCAAAUUAUUCCUCCUGCCUGCACAGCCUGAGAGUAGAAGUGAGUUAACUCAGACUUGUCUCCACCUUCAGGCAAGUGGAUUACUGACUAUCCAGAACCCCCACAAACACCUUGAUUUUCUUUUUUCUUCAAAAGUCAUUUUGAAUUAGCUUGCCUCCUGAUUCAGUUUAAGAAAUUAAAUGAGUGAAUUAUUAUACUUUCAAAAA
Molecule: non-coding RNA, 2017 nt
Organism: Vicugna pacos (alpaca)
Lineage: Eukaryota; Metazoa; Chordata; Mammalia; Artiodactyla; Camelidae
Source: RefSeq, a predicted model, not a curated record